UUUAUAGCCUCUGGCUAUAGGAAAUUGUUAGUGGCAGACGGGUGAGUAAUGCGUAGGAAUCUACCUAGUAGUACGGAAUAGCCAUUAGAAAUGGUGGGUAAUACUGUAUAAUCCCCGAGGGGGAAAGAUUUAUCGCUAUUAGAUGAGCCUACGUUAGAUUAGCUAGUUGGUGAGGUAAUGGCUUACCAAGGCUAUGAUCUAUAGCUGGUCUGAGAGGACGAUCAGCCACACUGGAACUGAGAUACGGUCCAGACUCCUACGGGAGGCAGCAGUGGGGAAUAUUGGACAAUGGGCGAAAGCCUGAUCCAGCUAUGCCGCGUGAGCGAAGAAGGCCUUCGGGUUGUAAAACUCUUUCAAUAGGGAAGAUAAUGACGGUACCUAUAGAAGAAGUCCCGGCAAACUCUGUGCCAGCAGCCGCGGUAAUACGGAGGGGGCAAGCGUUGCUCGGAAUUAUUGGGCGUAAAGGGCACGUAGGUGGACUAGUAAGUUAAAAGUG
Molecule: ribosomal RNA, 496 nt
Filed under: Ehrlichia canis
Lineage: Bacteria; Pseudomonadati; Pseudomonadota; Alphaproteobacteria; Rickettsiales; Anaplasmataceae
Description: bacterial SSU rRNA
Rfam family: Bacterial small subunit ribosomal RNA
Source: RNAcentral